Molecule: long non-coding RNA, 8022 nt
Filed under: Triticum aestivum (bread wheat)
Lineage: Eukaryota; Viridiplantae; Streptophyta; Magnoliopsida; Poales; Poaceae
Description: long non-coding RNA (TAES_LNC022140)
Source: RNAcentral
UCGGUCCCUCCCGCGUAUCUACGGUGCUGCUGCUCCUGGUCUCCAGCAAAGGUGCGUCCCUUUUUUUCAAGCAUUGCAUAUUAGCUUCGGUGAGACGGCGUCCACGAUGACAAGGCCAUGGUGGGGUAUGUUGGUUGAUGGUGUGUGUGGUGGAGGGCUUCGAAGCGUCUGAUGGCGGGGUGAGGGUCGAGAGAAAUCCGUGUCGAGGUUUGACGCCGACAAUGGGGACGUCUGCGUGCGCCACCAUCCCUUCCUGAAGGGCGUCAGUUUUUACCCCUACCCAACUCCCUCGGCGUAUCAGGGGAAACCCCGGGACUUGUCCGGGCAGCAGCGUCGUCGCCGUCGCUUCCCCUCCUGAGUGUGUUGCUUGUUUCGCGUGGUUCGAAGCACUAGGAGCGUGGUGGGACAACUUUCACAUCGCGUGUCUUCUUCGUUUUGUUGAUCCGCCUUGUCGGCGUUGUUUUGUUUUCCGCGUGCGGAGGCAGCCAUUGGCCACCGCCGGGAUGCGUCGCGCGCUGGGGUUGCCGCGCCAGGGCCGGGAGAUGAGGGCCUUGUGCCUCUCGUGGCGCUGCCUCCUAAUUUGUACUGAGGCCAAUAGUCGUGGUCGCGCCAGGAGCAUCAUCGGGCCGAGGGCUGCCGCGUGACGCAGCGGCCACGCCAUCGCCUCGCAUUGUGCAUUGUGUGGCGCCUCCGUGUGGGCUGGGGAACCGGACCUGACCGCGGGCUGCCGCGGGAGGUUGCCUCCGCGUCGUGCGGCUUGGAGGGAGGGGCUCUCCGCGAUUCCGCGCCUUGAGAGGGUGUGGUCGAGCCGUCAUUUGGAGGAACAGCCUCCAUCUACCUGGGGGAUGCGGCCGUCGUUCCACGGCUCGGCAUCGUGGACGUCAUCUCCGCAAUGGCUGGUGCUCGCCGGUGACUCCCCGCGGCCUCCACCCGAAAGAAUCGCCUUCGCCCUCCAUGUAAUAAACUCGGCAUCAAACAUAGCGAUCCUGGCGACGGGCGUAGACAAGGCAAAGGCCGUGCAUUUGGCCGUGUCUGACAGCAGCGACGGUCCAGACGCCCCCGCGUCCCUGCCUGCCAAGAUGGUCCAGCCAACGCACGGGAAGCCGGUGUGGUUUCUGGACAAGGCGGCAGCCUCAUCACCCGAGGCGCUGCCUGACGAUGCGUACGAGCAGCAGCAUCGUGAGUACUAGCUAACUGAGAACAAAGCGGGGAUUCCUUUGCUUUGAAAAAUGGAGGUGUGUAGGUACUUAGGUGCGUGGAUCAUGUGAUGGAACAAGGUUUGCUUCGUCCGACGCCUUUAGUCCUCUUCGUGUUAGUCCGACGCAUGGUUCCUUCCAUGGAAUCGGAAGGGCCGUCAGUUCUGGCGGACGACGGAGAUGGUUUCGUGCGGCAUUGAUGUUUAUGCGCGCGUUGUGGCCUCAGAGUUGAGAACAUUAAAACCUGAAUUGUGGCCAGUUUUUAUGGUAUUGUGAACCCCAUUCUAUCUAGCUAAGGUUAGAUUCUUCCGCAGGCAUGUUUUUCUUUGUAUGUACUCCCUCCGUUCCAAAUUAGUCUUCGUAGUUUUAGUUCAAAUAUGAACUAAAACCACGACGAGUAAUUUGAAACGGAGGGAGUAGCUGGUAUGGUCCUGUGCGUUGUUUGGAGCACCACCUAGAACCAGGGCUAUAGAUUCGUCUCGUUUUACCUGAUGUGGGUUCUGUGUUUUUCUGCCGUGACAUUUCUCGCGAUUUCUUGUCUUUGCCAGAUAGAAUUUGGUUCGAUGUAAUUUUGGUGAAUUGCUGCCCAAAAGGUUCUGAUCGUUCUUCAAAUAGGUGGCUGUACAAUGCAUUGCCAUUAUCCGCAUUGUUUUUUGCCACUUUGCAUACUUGUCCCAGGUCAGUCUGGUUGAGAUAAUAUAGGCAAAAAACCAACAUCUACAUGAUGAUUGGUUGUGUGCAUACUCUUAAACACUCUGAUGCGGCUAUUUUUGUAACCCGCCACUUGUUCAUCGCAUGCUUCCCAUAAACUGUAAACCCUCGGAACUCUUCCUCGAAACACCACAUACCACUUGUCCUAAUAUGGCAGAAGAGCAAACAAUUCAAGCAGUAAGCAUGCAUGAUCAUACAACACAACAAGUUCAUCCUAUCACUAGUAUGGUGUGAUCCUACUAUCAAAUCCAAAAAAUGGUGUCAUCCUACUACCGCUAAUUCGUCAUCGGCAUGAGGGUUACUAUACUACCUCAUAGAAAAUAUGCAGGCCAACAUCAAGAGUUUAUCAAUCCCUUUUCAAAUUCAUGUUCUUUUUAAAAUUCAUGAUUUUUUUAUAAAAAUAGAAUAUUUUAAAAUCAAUUAAGAAAAUAAAAUUGGUGAACUUUUUUUAUCUUCGUGAACUUUUUCCAAAUAAACAGUCAUUUUCUAAAUUUUGAUUCUUUUUAAAUUCGUAAUCUUCUUGCAAACUUUCACCAAAUUCAUGAUUUUUUUCUCUAAUUUGUGAUCUUUUUUCAAAUUCAUGAACUUUUUAAAAUUCGUGACUUCUCUAAACCUACAUCAAGCAAUGAACUUUUUAAAAUUCAUUUUAUGGGGGAUUGAUAAACUCUAGAUGUUGGCCUGUAUAUUUUUUAUGAGGUAGUAUAAUAACCCUCAUGGCGAUGACCAAUUAGCGGUAGUAGGAUAACGCCAUCUUUUGGAUUUGAUGGUAGGAUGACACUAUAAUAGUGGUAGGAUGAACUUGUUGUGUUGUAUGAUCAUGCAUGCUUACUUAUAUUUCAUGUCUAGUGUGCUCCAUUGCUUGAUGCUUGAAUUGUUUGCUCUUUUGCCAUAUUAGAACAAGUGGUAUGUGGUGUUCCGAGGGAGAGUUCUGAGGGUGAGUUCGGAGGGUUUACAAUUUACGGGAAGUAUGCGAUGGACAAGUGGCAGGCUACAAAAAUAUCUGCUUCAAAAUAUUUAAGAGUAUGCAGGCAACCAAUCAACAUGCAGAUGUUGGUUUUUUGUCUGUAUUAUCUCAACCAGGCUGACAUGGGACAAGUAUGCAAAGUGGCAAAAAACGGUGCGGAUAAUGGCAAUGCACAUGCUUGUACAGCCACCUAUUUCAAGAAUGAAAUUUCAGAACCUUUCCUUUUGGGCAGCAAUUCAGCAAAAUUACGUCGAACCAAAUUCCAUCUCGCAAACACAAGAAAUCACGAGAAAUAUGACGGCAGAAAAUCACUGAACCCACAUCAGGUAAAACCAGACGAAUCUAUAGCUCUGGGUUCCAGGCAGCGCUUCAAAUAACAGACAGGAUCAGCCACACACAAGAAAAAACACGCCUGCAAACGAAUCCAAUCUUAGCUAGAUAGAAUGGAGUUCCCAAUACCAUAAAAACUGGCCACAAUUCAGGUCUUAAUGUUCUCAACUCUGAGGCCACAACGCCCGCAUAAACAUCAACGCCGCACAAAACCAUCUCCGUCGUCUGCCGAAACUGACGGCGCUUCCGAUUUCCCGCAACAAACCAUCCGUCGGACUAACACGAAGAGGACUAAAGGCGUCGAACGAAGCAAACCUUGUUCCAUCAUAUGAUCCACCCACCUAACUACUUACACGCCUUAAUUUUUCACAGCAAAGGAAUCUCCACUCUGUUCUCACUAAGCUAGUACUCACAGAUGCUGCUGCUGGUAGGCAUCGUCAGACAGCGCCUCGAGUGAUGAGGCGGCCGCCUUGUCCAGAAACCACACCAGCUUCCCGUCCGUUGGCUGGACCAUCCUGGCAGGCAGCGGGGCGGCGGCGUCUAGGCCGUCGCUGCUGUCAGACACGGCUGAAUGCACAGCGUUUGCCUUGUCGACGCCCGUCGCGAGGAUCGCGAUGUUUGACGCCGAGUUUAUCACAGGGAGGGUGAAGGUGAUUCUCUCGGGUGGAGGCUGCGGGGAGUCCGUGAUGUAGGUGACCCAGUCGUCCUUCAGCUCGAGGGCUUGGUGGUUAGGGAACAAUGAGGCCACAUGUCCGUCGGAGCCCAUGCUGAGGAGGAUGAGAUCAAACUUGGGGCAGUCGUUGCUCUCUGAGACUCCUAUAGUGCGGAUCUUGACCAGCUGCCUGAUGACAAAUUCGUAGUCCGUUGCUGCGUCCUCCACCGUGGCGCCGUCAUUUAUGGAGUAGACAUGGCCACUCAGAAUAGGUACCUAGAAAAAAUUUAGAUACAGCAGAUGGUUAACUUGGUGCAAACAAAUGAAUUCAGUAUCACGGCGGAACACCAUAUUCUUGUACUACUAAAUAAUGUCUGCAUCUUUUUUGCUUGUUGGUGCAAGAUAAUAAACCAAAUAAAGUGAAAUCAUGGAAUCUAUGUAACAUAAAAUGGCAAGGGCACUGGUAUGCAGGGGAAAAUACACAUGAUCAAAGACUUUGCACAAGAACUGAUUUCACCUGUCUCAUGGGAAAAAAAAAGAUGCAGACUUUGCCUUAAACUCCUUCAACUACAUAAAUCAUGUGGUUGGUGCAACUUAAGACAGGUGUGCCAGAGGCAAUCAUCAUGUUCCAAUCAAGAGUACUCAUUUGGAUAAGCUCUUAGUCUGACAAUAAAGACUGGAGAUGACCCUGAGAGAAGAUAGGGUGUGGUUGGUGGUGGGGGUUGCAAGAGUAGUUGGAAGUUGGAACUACUGAAGUAGCUGUUAGGAAGUCUUAAUCUGGUUCCCAUGGUUGCCAAAUGAUACCGAACAAUCUGAACAUAGCAGACUACCAGGAAAUGGUAUAGCAAAAUGGCCUACCUGACUCACAAGCUACCAGAACAACCACUUGUAUCUAAUAUGCAGAAUGUACAGAAGGGUGAUAUUCUUAACUUACAUAAUAAUAAUAUUGCAUAUUUGUGUCUUUCACCAUGUUAAAAUACCAGUAUGAAAGCACAACGAACAGUAUUCGGGCAAGUAAAAUGUACUACUCCCUCCGUUCCUAAAUAUUUGUCUUUCUAGAGAUUUCAACAAGUGACUACAUACGAAGUAAAAUGAGUGAAUAUACAUUCUAAAAUAUGUCUACAUACAUCCGUAUCUUGUAGUCCAUUUGAAUGUCUAGAAAGACAAAUAUUUAGGAACGGAGGGAGUAUAUGCCAAAUGAGAAAAAAGACAUGAGACUGCAAUACAACUCUGAGCCAAGGCAUGUUAUAUUUUCCAACUCUAAACCUGGUCUUUCUUUGAACUUUUUUUAUUGUAAUAGAGAACAUGAAAUAUUUGAUUAUUAAUAUAUUAUUGUAGCCCAUCGGUUGGUCCUUACUACUGAAUUCUUCUGGCCAACACUUACACUUUUGACUACUGAAAUUAACUCUCAAAAGUCCAACAACUUGGACAUUUAUCAAGCACCAAAUACUCAGAACAUUCGGCGAACAAUAAUAGUACGAAGUCACAGGUCCAUCGUACAAUCAAUUGGAUUGACAGGCAGGAUAAUCUACUAACAGUGGACACCAAUAAUAAUACUCCAUUACACAUGGCACUUGAUUUGAGAUAUCUACAGUGUAACAAUUUCAAAUAUACCCACUUCAGCUCUUUUCCCUCAUAGCUGAUACGCAAAUUGUAAUCUAACACCAUAUGCAGUACAGAAAAGGAAAAGGAAAAGGAAAACCCUGAAUGACCCAUCUGGGAACUGCUAUUGGCUAUUUGACUUGAUAUACUGAAGAAAAGUACUAUGCAUGAUGGAUCUCAUGCAAGGUAUAAAUAGCAUCUCAUAAGCACAAUGUAAAAUGAAACUCAGGCAACAAAUACCCAGAAACUAAUAUAUGCUCUAGGUUAUACAGCAAAAUUUCUCCUAAAGUCCACAUACCUUUGAUAGAAAUUCUUCUUUUGUUAACUUAUAGUUACUGUCUGCAUGGUUCUUUGCUACAGCACGUUCGUCAGACCAGAAAAUGUACCAUUUAGACCAAUCCAGGGUCUUGUUGUAUGGCACUUCACAAAGUUUCCUUUUCAUAAAUUAAAAACAAGAUAUUUCAGAUGCAAUAAUGCAAACUGUAUUGAAAAUUCUUGCACAGAAACAUAUAUAGCAUAUUAGCUAACAAAGAAUAGCAAAAUUCAUUACCUCAAAAAACUGACAAGGGGCCCUCCAGAUAGGGCAAUAGCGAAGUAUCCCCUUUCUUUAACAGAGAUUUCUGAAACUUGGGAGAUAUACUCAGCUAGAUCUGUUACUAUCUCAUCUGAACUCUCAAAAAUCCUUAUUUCACUGUUUAGUUUUGGCUCAUAUGAGGCAGCCAUUUCCCUCUCCAUUGUUUGCUUCAGCCUAGAACUCUACCGAGUUAUUACCACACCAAAUAAUCCUGCACAAAAAGCACCAAUAUAUUAUCAACAAGGAGGUCCAGCAGAAGUGAUCCAACUCGUGCACAGAACAUCAGAAUUUAAGAAAACUGCAACAUAGUUACAUAAUCUAGCUUUCAGCAAGGCACCAAAAUCUUGAAAAGCAAAAUAAAAUCUAUCCUGCAAAAUAUCAUGUACAGAACAUCAGAACUUAAGAAAACUUCAAAGUUCAAUCAUGGAAACAGUUCUUAAGUUCCUAAUAGUUUCAUGUUGAAAAAGAGAGAUAAUCUCUAAUAGCUUCAGCCAGAAAGAUGCCAAAACGGUGAACAGAGGCAUGUGAUCAAUCCUAUACAAUAUCAUCACCUAAUCCCAUACACCCUGUUAUCCUAUAUAGUGCAUAUCACCAUCAUAGCAGCGCUUUCCUUAUUAACUGGGAUGUCACAAUUGACAAUUGGCAGUGAAAGAUAACCUCCAUCAACCAAUAUUAAAACAUGCAUCAGCAAGGCUAUUUUGUCACUUUUAUGUUAACUGACUAUACAAUUAGAAAUAUCAUGCAUAACCUCAAAUGUGUAAAAUAAACCUGCGGUAGAAUAUUACAACAUGGGGCCACCUUCUAGAACACAGAAGAGUGACAAUCGAGGAAACUGGAAAAGCAAGUAGAUAACAUGUUCAUUUUUUUAAUAUGGCAUCCUUCUACAAGCUAUGUUUGGACUUUCAGAUAGCAUAACAGGACAAAUUGCCAACUUGCAGGGGAAAUGGUUAGAGAACUACUACUGUGUUUGUAGAGCUUGACCAGAAGGAAAUAGUUUUAAAGAAAAGAGUUUGCACACAACAUCAAAACACCUAAAAAAAAUGAACAUAAACGCCUUUCACGUCAACCUGAGGAAGCAUAGAUUUGCUGUAUAAUAUGAUGUGACAGCAAAUCUAAUUCAAUUUGCUAAUAUACAUGAGAUGAUAGAUCUACCAUUGAUCUAAAUCAUUCUACUAAUCUACUUUGGCAUUCCCUGUAAAUUUUGGAACAGCUGGAACUCACUGUCAACCCACGGUUGGCAGAGUAAAACAGAGCACUGCACAUGAACAUGUCGCCAAAACGACAGAUCCGAAAUUCAGAUGCAAAUGAUCUCUUGUGAACUAAUACACGUGGCCCUAGGUUCCCAAACCAAUUAAGAUAAAAUGACAUAAAUCCAAAGCAUCGUAGUAUAGGCGUAAUCACCAAAACUGAACCUCCAACGAUAUUACUCUGAAAUAAGAAAAGGCAUAGCAGCAUGAGUAAUCUCAGCUUUACACACAAGAGUAUCACACAAUUAGUAACACUGGUCUAGAGAAGUAGAGAGCAUAAAUACUGGAGUACCUCCGUCCCGAAUUAUAAGAUGUUUUGGAUAUUUCAAUAUGGACUACCAACAGACUAAAAUGAGUGAACAAACACACUGAAACGCGUCUAUAUACAUCCAAUUCAAAAAAAAAAAGUUAGAACAGCUUAUAGUUUCAAACGAGGAAGCAGGUCAUUAAAAGAUAAUACGCUGGCUUCUACUGGUGCUAACUGCUAAGCUUAACUCAACUCUGUAAACAGCAUUGGGGAAGAAAAACUAGCAAGGGAAAGUGCAGCUGCAAGGUUUAGCGGACACCAUUUGAGCCGAGACGAGUUGAAAGAUUCCAAAGCAUUGUUGCUGUGGAGUCGCAACAAAAGCGCACCAGUGAAAGAAAAGAGAAGAAAAAGGCAGGAACGCCGCAGUGAAACCCGCUCUAGAUGCCAGGCUGAAAAAGGCGCCGCUUCCUUUGGCCCGUUCCGCCCUUAUCCCGCUGGG